GGUUUGUGGCUCAGAGGUAGAGCGCUUGCCUAGCAUGUGUGAGGUACUGAGUUCAAUCCUCAGCACCA
Molecule: transfer RNA, 68 nt
Filed under: Marmota monax (woodchuck)
Lineage: Eukaryota; Metazoa; Chordata; Mammalia; Rodentia; Sciuridae
Description: tRNA.Ala
Rfam family: tRNA (bases 5-65)
About the family: Transfer RNA (tRNA) molecules are approximately 80 nucleotides in length. Their secondary structure includes four short double-helical elements and three loops (D, anti-codon, and T loops).
Source: RNAcentral